CAUGAGAAACACCUUAAUCAGAAAUAUUGAUUUAACUAUAAAACUAGUUAGAUCUAAGUUACAUAUCACAUAUAUAAUUUUAGAUCUAACUUAUACAUGCUUUGCAUACAUCUCAUGUAUUAAAAUCUGAUCUAACUAGCAUGCUUUCAGAUCUGAUAUAUCACAUAUAACAUCUAAAAAAUAAGAUUUAAAUUGAACUAUUC
This 203-nucleotide long non-coding RNA is filed under the name Elaeis guineensis (African oil palm). RNAcentral's name for it is "long non-coding RNA (EGUI_LNC054448)". The record is from RNAcentral. Lineage: Eukaryota; Viridiplantae; Streptophyta; Magnoliopsida; Arecales; Arecaceae.